Molecule: ribosomal RNA, 484 nt
Filed under: uncultured bacterium
Lineage: Bacteria
Description: partial 16S ribosomal RNA
Rfam family: Bacterial small subunit ribosomal RNA
Source: RNAcentral
AUUGAACGCUGGCGGCAGGCCUAACACAUGCAAGUCGAGCGGAUGAAGGGAGCUUGCUCCUGGAUUCAGCGGCGGACGGGUGAGUAAUGCCUAGGAAUCUGCCUGGUAGUGGGGGAUAACGUCCGGAAACGGGCGCUAAUACCGCAUACGUCCUGAGGGAGAAAGUGGGGGAUCUUCGGACCUCACGCUAUCAGAUGAGCCUAGGUCGGAUUAGUUAGUUGGUGGGGUAAAGGCCUACCAAGGCGACGAUCCGUAACUGGUCUGAGAGGAUGAUCAGUCACACUGGAACUGAGACACGGUCCAGACUCCUACGGGAGGCAGCAGUGGGGAAUAUUGGACAAUGGGCGAAAGCCUGAUCCAGCCAUGCCGCGUGUGUGAAGAAGGUCUUCGGAUUGUAAAGCACUUUAAGUUGGGAGGAAGGGCAGUAAGUUAAUACCUUGCUGUUUUGACGUUACCAACAGAAUAAGCACCGGCUAACUUCGUG